CCGAAGUGAAUCUUUGUAGCUAGAACCUCCAGUAUAUUUCCCCCCAAUCCACUCCAGUCCUUUCCCAGCAGGCUGUCUAAUCCAGUGUGUUGCAUAGCUCAGAUCAUAAGAGACCUGACAGCUGAUGGUCAG
Long non-coding RNA from Xiphophorus couchianus (Monterrey platyfish), 132 nucleotides. RefSeq lists it as uncharacterized. NCBI's taxonomy places the organism in Eukaryota, Metazoa, Chordata, Actinopteri, Cyprinodontiformes, Poeciliidae. The transcript has 3 exons. The record is from RefSeq and is a predicted model, not a curated record.